Molecule: non-coding RNA, 323 nt
Organism: Caenorhabditis elegans
Lineage: Eukaryota; Metazoa; Nematoda; Chromadorea; Rhabditida; Rhabditidae
Source: Ensembl
GGUGGUUGUUGUGCUCAACAGAGGGUGACUAAAAGGCAGAGGGCACUUUGUGUUCUUGCUCCACCGCCGUCGCCGCUGCUGCUGCUGCGGCUCCCCAUCUGCGAGAGCUCUUGUGCUCCGGACACAGAGAGGGAGAGGGAGCAAGAGUGUAAAGUGGGGCUCUCUCUCUCUCUUGCCAGUUUCUUCUUCUUCUUCUUGUCGCCGCGGCGCGGACUAGAAGUGAGAAGAAGAAAAAGAAGAAGAAAGAGAAAGAGAGAUGGAUGGGUGACGACUACGAACCGAUCACCCGAAUCGAUUAGAAACAUAUUAUUAUUUUAUGAGGG